RNAcentral lists this ribosomal RNA (447 nucleotides) under uncultured bacterium. RNAcentral describes it as "bacterial SSU rRNA". It matches the Rfam family "Bacterial small subunit ribosomal RNA", at positions 355 to 825 of the family's 1533-position model. The record is from RNAcentral.
UGGGGAAUAUUGGACAAUGGGCGAAAGCCUGAUCCAGCCAUGCCGCGUGAGUGACGAAGGCCUUAGGGUUGUAAAACUCUUUCGUCGGGGACGAUAAUGACGGUACCCGAAGAAGAAGCUCCGGCUAACUUCGUGCCAGCAGCCGCGGUAAUACGAAGGGAGCUAGCGUUGUUCGGAAUCACUGGGCGUAAAGCGCACGUAGGCGGAUAGUUAAGUCAGGGGUGAAAUCCCAGAGCUCAACUCUGGAACUGCCCUUGAUACUGGCAAUCUCGAGUCCGGAAGAGGUUAGUGGAAUUCCCAGUGUAGAGGUGAAAUUCGUAGAUAUUGGGAAGAACACCAGUGGCGAAGGCGGCUAACUGGUCCGGUACUGACGCUGAGGUGCGAAAGCGUGGGGAGCAAACAGGAUUAGAUACCCAUGUAGUCCCUGAGCGGGCUGGCAAGGCGCAU